RNAcentral lists this small RNA (51 nucleotides) under Sinorhizobium meliloti 2011. RNAcentral describes it as "putative ncRNA". The record is from RNAcentral. Lineage: Bacteria; Pseudomonadati; Pseudomonadota; Alphaproteobacteria; Hyphomicrobiales; Rhizobiaceae.
AUUCUUAUCGGAAGCCCUUGCCAGCGGCAGAAACUGCCGCUAUGAACCGGC